RNAcentral lists this ribosomal RNA (440 nucleotides) under uncultured bacterium. Its description in RNAcentral is "partial 16S ribosomal RNA". It matches the Rfam family "Bacterial small subunit ribosomal RNA", at positions 338 to 795 of the family's 1533-position model. The record is from RNAcentral.
CCUACGGGAGGCAGCAGUGGGGAAUAUUGCACAAUGGGGGAAACCCUGAUGCAGCAACGCCGCGUGAGUGAAGAAGUAUCCCGGUACGUAAAGCUCUAUCAGCAGGGAAGAUAAUGACGGUACCUGACCAAGAAGCCCCGGCUAACUACGUGCCAGCAGCCGCGGUAAUACGUAGGGGGCAAGCGUUAUCCGGAUUUACUGGGUGUAAAGGGAGCGUAGACGGCAGCACAAGUCAGGUGUGAAAUCCCGGGGCUCAACCCCGGAAGUGCUUUUGAAACUGUCAUGCUGGAGUGCAGGAGGGGUAAGCGGAAUUCCUAGUGUAGCGGUGAAAUGCGUAGAUAUUAGGAGGAACACCAGUGGCGAAGGCGGCUUACUGGACUGUAACUGACGUUGAUGCUCGAAAGCGUGGGGAGCAAACAGGAUUAGAUACCCGUGUAGUC